UACGGAGGGUGCAAGCGUUAUCCGGAUUCACUGGGUUUAAAGGGAGCGUAGGUGGGCUGGUAAGUCAGUGGUGAAAUCCCCCGAGCUUAACUUGGGAACUGCCAUUGAUACUAUCAGUCUUGAAUACUGUGGAGGCUAGCGGAAUAUGUCAUGUAGCGGUGAAAUGCUUAGAUAUGACAUAGAACACCAAUUGCGAAGGCAGCUCACUACACGAAUAUUGACACUGAGGCACGAAAGCGUGGGUAGCAAACAGG
Molecule: ribosomal RNA, 254 nt
Filed under: uncultured bacterium
Lineage: Bacteria
Description: partial 16S ribosomal RNA
Rfam family: Bacterial small subunit ribosomal RNA
Source: RNAcentral